GGAAUCUUCCACAAUGGACGCGAGUCUGAUGGAGCAACGCCGCGUGAGUGAAGAAGGGUUUCGGCUCGUAAAGCUCUGUUGUUAAAGAAGAACGUGGGUAAGAGUAACUGUUUACCCAGUGACGGUAUUUAACCAGAAAGCCACGGCUAACUACGUGCUAG
Molecule: ribosomal RNA, 161 nt
Filed under: uncultured bacterium
Lineage: Bacteria
Description: partial 16S ribosomal RNA
Rfam family: Bacterial small subunit ribosomal RNA
Source: RNAcentral